UAUUGAUAAAAGAAUCUGAAGCGGAACAGGCUGUUCUUGUGGAGAAUGGAGAAGUUCCCGCUGUUGAGGAAGACCCGGUUGCUGAGGUUGUUGAUGAGGUGCAGGAUUCUUCAUAGCUGGCAGUUGAAUAUCACACUAAAGUUGAGGAAAUGCCAAAGAAGCCGUAUGCAUCUAUUGAUAUACAGUCCAGUUGAAUUAGAACUCACACAAAAAUAAUGAUUUACAAGAGGGUGUCGAAUGAGAGGUCCCAGCUCAAUCUCUUCAAACUGCUGAACUCCCGCAUUCUUGAAGAUUGACGCCUCCAAGUCAUAUAAUGUGAAGUAUUGCAAAUUGUCAACCGUUGGAAUAUGCUAAAGACAAGGGUGAAGAGGAUUCAGUGUUUGUGGCGACUAAAUAUUGACACUUAAAUUUUUGACAAUGACAUUCAGCAGCAGAAGCAAGUGCUGAAUUUGAAGGAGAUGAAUAAGAUAGCACACUUUGUUGUUGAUAUGCUCCGAUACAGGAAUACGAUUUGGAGCCACAUCAUAUUCGAGCACGCAUC
This is a long non-coding RNA of Helianthus annuus (common sunflower), 541 nucleotides long. RefSeq lists it as uncharacterized. NCBI's taxonomy places the organism in Eukaryota, Viridiplantae, Streptophyta, Magnoliopsida, Asterales, Asteraceae. The record is from RefSeq and is a predicted model, not a curated record. The transcript is spliced from 3 exons.